UACAGAGACUGCAAGCGUUAUUCGGAUUCACUGGGCGUAAAGGGUGCGCAGGUGGCUAAGUGUGUUAGGCGUGAAAGCCCGGGGCUUAACCCCGGAAUUGCACCUAAAACUACUUGGCUAGAGCAUUGGAGAGGGGAGCAGAAUUCAUGGUGUAGCAGUGAAAUGCGUAGAUAUCAUGAGGAAUACCAGAGGCGAAGGCGGCUCCCUGGGCAAUUGCUGACACUCAGGCACGAAAGCGUGGGGAGCAAAAGGG
This 253-nucleotide ribosomal RNA is filed under the name uncultured bacterium. RNAcentral's name for it is "partial 16S ribosomal RNA". It matches the Rfam family "Bacterial small subunit ribosomal RNA", at positions 524 to 776 of the family's 1533-position model. The record is from RNAcentral.